GGUUAAGCGACUAAGCGUACACGGUGGAUGCCCUGGCAGUCAGAGGCGAUGAAGGACGUGCUAAUCUGCGAUAAGCGUCGGUAAGGUGAUAUGAACCGUUAUAACCGGCGAUUUCCGAAUGGGGAAACCCAGUGUGAUUUGUCACACUAUCAUUAACUGAAUCCAUAGGUUAAUGAGGCGAACCGGGGGAACUGAAACAUCUAAGUACCCCGAGGAAAAGAAAUCAACCGAGAUUCCCCCAGUAGCGGCGAGCGAACGGGGAGGAGCCCAGAGCCUGAAUCAGUGUGUGUGUUAGUGGAAGCGUCUGGAAAGGCGCGCGAUACAGGGUGACAGCCCCGUACACAAAAAUGCACAUGCUGUGAGCUCGAUGAGUAGGGCGGGACACGUGGUAUCCUGUCUGAAUAUGGGGGGACCAUCCUCCAAGGCUAAAUACUCCUGACUGACCGAUAGUGAACCAGUACCGUGAGGGAAAGGCGAAAAGAACCCCGGCGAGGGGAGUGAAAAAGAACCUGAAACCGUGUACGUACAAGCAGUGGGAGCACGCUUCGGCGUGUGACUGCGUACCUUUUGUAUAAUGGGUCAGCGACUUAUAUUCUGUAGCAAGGUUAACCGAAUAGGGGAGCCGAAGGGAAACCGAGUCUUAACUGGGCGUUAAGUUGCAGGGUAUAGACCCGAAACCCGGUGAUCUAGCCAUGGGCAGGUUGAAGGUUGGGUAACACUAACUGGAGGACCGAACCGACUAAUGUUGAAAAAUUAGCGGAUGACUUGUGGCUGGGGGUGAAAGGCCAAUCAAACCGGGAGAUAGCUGGUUCUCCCCGAAAGCUAUUUAGGUAGCGCCUCGUGAAUUCAUCUCCGGGGGUAGAGCACUGUUUCGGCAAGGGGGUCAUCCCGACUUACCAACCCGAUGCAAACUGCGAAUACCGGAGAAUGUUAUCACGGGAGACACACGGCGGGUGCUAACGUCCGUCGUGAAGAGGGAAACAACCCAGACCGCCAGCUAAGGUCCCAAAGUCAUGGUUAAGUGGGAAACGAUGUGGGAAGGCCCAGACAGCCAGGAUGUUGGCUUAGAAGCAGCCAUCAUUUAAAGAAAGCGUAAUAGCUCACUGGUCGAGUCGGCCUGCGCGGAAGAUGUAACGGGGCUAAACCAUGCACCGAAGCUGCGGCAGCGACACUAUGUGUUGUUGGGUAGGGGAGCGUUCUGUAAGCCUGUGAAGGUGGCCUGUGAGGGUUGCUGGAGGUAUCAGAAGUGCGAAUGCUGACAUAAGUAACGAUAAAGCGGGUGAAAAGCCCGCUCGCCGGAAGACCAAGGGUUCCUGUCCAACGUUAAUCGGGGCAGGGUGAGUCGACCCCUAAGGCGAGGCCGAAAGGCGUAGUCGAUGGGAAACAGGUUAAUAUUCCUGUACUUGGUGUUACUGCGAAGGGGGGACGGAGAAGGCUAUGUUGGCCGGGCGACGGUUGUCCCGGUUUAAGCGUGUAGGCUGGUUUUCCAGGCAAAUCCGGAAAACUAAGGCUGAGGCGUGAUGACGAGGCACUACGGUGCUGAAGCAACAAAUGCCCUGCUUCCAGGAAAAGCCUCUAAGCAUCAGGUAACAUCAAAUCGUACCCCAAACCGACACAGGUGGUCAGGUAGAGAAUACCAAGGCGCUUGAGAGAACUCGGGUGAAGGAACUAGGCAAAAUGGUGCCGUAACUUCGGGAGAAGGCACGCUGAUAUGUAGGUGAAGCGACUUGCUCGUGGAGCUGAAAUCAGUCGAAGAUACCAGCUGGCUGCAACUGUUUAUUAAAAACACAGCACUGUGCAAACACGAAAGUGGACGUAUACGGUGUGACGCCUGCCCGGUGCCGGAAGGUUAAUUGAUGGGGUUAGCGGUAACGCGAAGCUCUUGAUCGAAGCCCCGGUAAACGGCGGCCGUAACUAUAACGGUCCUAAGGUAGCGAAAUUCCUUGUCGGGUAAGUUCCGACCUGCACGAAUGGCGUAAUGAUGGCCAGGCUGUCUCCACCCGAGACUCAGUGAAAUUGAACUCGCUGUGAAGAUGCAGUGUACCCGCGGCAAGACGGAAAGACCCCGUGAACCUUUACUAUAGCUUGACACUGAACAUUGAGCCUUGAUGUGUAGGAUAGGUGGGAGGCUUUGAAGUGUGGACGCCAGUCUGCAUGGAGCCGACCUUGAAAUACCACCCUUUAAUGUUUGAUGUUCUAACGUUGACCCGUGAUCCGGGUUGCGGACAGUGUCUGGUGGGUAGUUUGACUGGGGCGGUCUCCUCCUAAAGAGUAACGGAGGAGCACGAAGGUUGGCUAAUCCUGGUCGGACAUCAGGAGGUUAGUGCAAUGGCAUAAGCCAGCUUGACUGCGAGCGUGACGGCGCGAGCAGGUGCGAAAGCAGGUCAUAGUGAUCCGGUGGUUCUGAAUGGAAGGGCCAUCGCUCAACGGAUAAAAGGUACUCCGGGGAUAACAGGCUGAUACCGCCCAAGAGUUCAUAUCGACGGCGGUGUUUGGCACCUCGAUGUCGGCUCAUCACAUCCUGGGGCUGAAGUAGGUCCCAAGGGUAUGGCUGUUCGCCAUUUAAAGUGGUACGCGAGCUGGGUUUAGAACGUCGUGAGACAGUUCGGUCCCUAUCUGCCGUGGGCGCUGGAGAACUGAGGGGGGCUGCUCCUAGUACGAGAGGACCGGAGUGGACGCAUCACUGGUGUUCGGGUUGUCAUGCCAAUGGCACUGCCCGGUAGCUAAAUGCGGAAGAGAUAAGUGCUGAAAGCAUCUAAGCACGAAACUUGCCCCGAGAUGAGUUCUCCCUGACUCCCUGAGAGUCCUGAAGGAACGUUGAAGACGACGACGUUGAUAGGCCGGGUGUGUAAGCGCAGCGAUGCGUUGAGCUAACCGGUACUAAUGAACCGUGAGGCUUAACCUU
RNAcentral lists this ribosomal RNA (2905 nucleotides) under Escherichia coli. Its description in RNAcentral is "23S ribosomal RNA". It matches the Rfam family "Bacterial large subunit ribosomal RNA". The record is from RNAcentral. Lineage: Bacteria; Pseudomonadati; Pseudomonadota; Gammaproteobacteria; Enterobacterales; Enterobacteriaceae. RNAcentral also lists the same sequence under 1 other name.